This 507-nucleotide ribosomal RNA is filed under the name Pseudolycoriella plicitegmenta. RNAcentral describes it as "partial large subunit ribosomal RNA". The record is from RNAcentral. Lineage: Eukaryota; Metazoa; Arthropoda; Insecta; Diptera; Sciaridae. RNAcentral also lists the same sequence under 1 other name.
GUCUUUUUGAUUUUAAUUUAAAGUUUAACCUGCCCAUUGAAAAUUUUUAAAAGGCUGCGGUAUUUUGACUGUACAAAGGUAGCAUAAUCAUUAGUUUUUUAAUUGAAAACUUGUAUGAAUGGUUGAAUGAGAAAUUAACUUUUUUAAAAAAAUAAUUGAAUUUUACUUUUUAAUUAAAAGGUUAAAAUAAAUUUAAAAGACGAGAAGACCCUAUAGAGUUUUAUAAUUUUUAUUUAAUAUUUAAAAAGAUUAAUUAAAAUUUUAUAAAAGAAAAUAUUUUGUUGGGGUGAUAAUAAAAUUUAAAUAACUUUUAUUUUUUUUUUACAUUAAUAUAUGAAUUUAUGAUCCAUUAUUGAUGAUUAGAAAUUUAAAUUACCUUAGGGAUAACAGCGUAAUUUUUUUUUAAAGUUCAUAUUAAUAAAAAAUUUUGCGACCUCGAUGUUGGAUUAAGAUUUAAUUUUAGGUGCAGCAGUUUAAAUUUUAAGUCUGUUCGACUUUUAAAUUCUU